AUGGGACUGCGGCCUAUCAGCUUGUUGGUGAGGUAAUGGCCCACCAAGGCUAUAACAGGUACGGGCUCUGAGAGGAGAAGCCCGGAGAUGGGUACUGAGACACGGACCCAGGCCCUAUGGGGCGCAGCAGGCGCGAAAACUCCGCAAUGCGCGAAAGCGUGACGGGGGAACCCCAAGUGCCGUUGGUCUUUUGAUCGACGGCUUUUCGGAAGUCUAGGAAGCUUCCGGAAUAAGGGCUGGGCAAGUCUGGUGCCAGCCGCCGCGGUAAUACCAGCAGCCCAAGUGGUGGCCGCGUUUAUUGGGCCUAAAGCGCUCGUAGCCGGGUCUGUAAGUCCCUUGUGAAAUCUGACGGCUCAACCGUUCGGCUUGCAAGGGAGACUGCUAGCCUUGGAACCGGGAGAGGUCGGGGGUACUUCGGGGGUAGCGGUGAAAUGCUGUAAUCCCUGGGGGACCACCAGUGGCGAAGGCGCCCGGCCAGAACGGAUUCAACGGUGAGGGGCGAAGGCUGGGGGAGCGAACGGGAUUAGAUACCCCGGUAGUCCCAGCUGUAAAGGAUGCGGGCUGGGUGUCAGGUGCCCUUCGAGAGCACCUGGUGCCGUAGGGAAGCCGUUAAGCCCGCCGCCUGGGAAGU
Molecule: ribosomal RNA, 631 nt
Filed under: uncultured archaeon
Lineage: Archaea
Description: bacterial SSU rRNA
Rfam family: Archaeal small subunit ribosomal RNA
Source: RNAcentral